UACGGGGGGGGGCAAGCGUUGUUCGGAAUUACUGGGCGUAAAGGGCUCGUAGGCGGCCAACUAAGUCAGACGUGAAAUCCCUCAGCUUAACUGGGGAACUGCGUCUGAUACUGGAUGGCUUGAGUUUGGGAGAGGGACGCGGAAUUCCAGGUGUAGCGGUGAAAUGCGUAGAUAUCUGGAGGAACACCGGUGGCGAAGGCGGCGUCCUGGACCAACACUGACACUGAUGAGCGAAAGCCAGGGGAGCAAACGGG
This 254-nucleotide ribosomal RNA is filed under the name uncultured bacterium. RNAcentral's name for it is "partial 16S ribosomal RNA". It matches the Rfam family "Bacterial small subunit ribosomal RNA", at positions 524 to 776 of the family's 1533-position model. The record is from RNAcentral.